Molecule: long non-coding RNA, 1214 nt
Organism: Daucus carota subsp. sativus
Lineage: Eukaryota; Viridiplantae; Streptophyta; Magnoliopsida; Apiales; Apiaceae
Exons: 2
Source: RefSeq, a predicted model, not a curated record
AUCACCCUCUUUAUAGCAACCAUGGCUUUCUGUUUCUUGGCGAGAAUUAUGUUGGCAACCCUGAUAAUCGUCAUCUUCAGCCUGCAGUUGCAGCUGGUUUCAACUCAUGCAGCCGGAGUUGCAGGUGAAAAGAGGAGCAUACUGUUAUCUCCUCCAGAUCACGGAUUUGACGGACGGGACAUUAUUCGCAUUCCUCACACUCCUAAAGGGCUGAGCGUUCGGUCGGUUCGGUCCAGAACCGGACCGAACCGAAUGGACCGAGGACCGAAUUUCUGAAAUUUUCUGGACCGGACCGGACCGAAAUUUGCAUAUGGACCGAACCGGGACCGAACCGAAAUAAUUCGGUCGGUUCGGUCCGGACCGCCAGAACCGAAAUUUUGUAUUAAUUUAAGGGAAGCACAAGUGCACAACUCGAUGCCUUAUCGGCUGGUCUACUGGCUGAAGAAGACAAGUUAGGAGCUAUAUACUUUGAUGAAGUAUUUUGCUGGCAAUUUCUUGUGGAAACAAAGGUAGUAUAAGUUUUGCUUCACUUCCAUGCCGAUCAUAUUAGUUCAGUAAUUUUCAAUGCAGCAGAGGUGCUAUGCUGCGUGUGCGCGGCGCUCGGAGAGAGUGGGAUAGCAGAUUAGGUAAUAGAUAUAAUAGAUUAGGUAUUGUAUAGACUAUAGACUAUAGUCAUAUAGAAUAUGUUAAGUAAUAUAUAAAAUAUAUAUAUAUAAACUUCGGUCCAUUCGGUCCAGGACCGAAGAUUUUCGCUGAGGACCGGACCGGACCGUAUUUUAUUUCGGUCCGGACCGAAAUACCCGAACAGACCGAAAUUUUUGAAAAUUAGGACCGAACCGGAUCGAAAUUAUUCGGUUCGGUUCGGUUUUUCGGUUUCGGUCCGGUUUUGCUCAGCCCUAAUAACGAUCGUUUGUAUUCAAAGGCAGCAUCACGACGCCAAGCACUUCAAGAUCCAAAGCCGCCGCUCCAUUCUCCUCCACCUCCGGUUGGAAGCCGUCCUGUUUACCCACCUUGACAUGAGUCAGGAUCGCUGUGGAAAUAAGUAUAAUUAUGAGUGACAGACAUGCUAGCUGGAGCCUAUUUGUCUUGCCUGGGUUUAAAGCUCAGUUUUUAAGCUAUUUUUGAUUAAACUUGAGAAUGUAUGUUUGUAUAAUAUGAUUUAAAAUUUUAAAUAAAUUUGAAAUUGACUUAAAAUCAAAAAUUAGUUUGAGUUA